This 283-nucleotide unclassified non-coding RNA is filed under the name Hevea brasiliensis (rubber tree). The record is from RNAcentral. Lineage: Eukaryota; Viridiplantae; Streptophyta; Magnoliopsida; Malpighiales; Euphorbiaceae.
GGGAACUCGAAAUCUGCGACGCCCUCCCCACCUUCCUCCCCGUCCAAACCCUAACCCUAAAAUUCAAAAUCAAUCCCCUCAUCUCCCCGUCGAUGGCGGCGGCGGCCAAGGCCGACGGCCAGGACAAGGUCAUCGCCACCGCCCAGCACAUCGUCAAGAGCCUCGCCAGCUCCAAGUUCGCCGAGGAGGACAUGAUCCGCAUCCUCUCCGGCUUCGACAACCGCCUCUCCGAUCUCUUCCCCUCCACCGCCCCCGCCCCCACCCCCUCCACCAGCUCCCCGCC